This 492-nucleotide ribosomal RNA is filed under the name uncultured bacterium. Its description in RNAcentral is "partial 16S ribosomal RNA". It matches the Rfam family "Bacterial small subunit ribosomal RNA", at positions 29 to 507 of the family's 1533-position model. The record is from RNAcentral.
AGCGGACGCUGGCGGUAGGCCUAACACAUGCAAGUCGAACGGCAGCACAGUAAGAGCUUGCUCUUACGGGUGGCGAGUGGCGGACGGGUGAGGAAUAUAUCGGAAUCUACUUUUUCGUGGGGGGCAACGUAGGGAAACUUACGCUAAUACCUCCUACGACCUACGCGUGAAAGCAGGUGAUCUUCGGACCUUGCGCGAUUGAAUGAGCCGAUGUCGGAUUAGCUAGUUGGCGGGGUAAAGGCCCACCAAGGCGACGAUCCGUAGCUGGUCUGAGAGGAUGAUCAGCCACACUGGAACUGAGACACGGUCCAGACUCCUACGGGAGGCAGCAGUGGGGAAUAUUGGACAAUGGGCGCAAGCCUGAUCCAGCCAUACCGCGUGGGUGAGGAAGGCCUUCGGGUUGUAAAGCCCUUUUGUUGGGAAAGAAAAGCAGCAGGUUAAUACCCCGCUGUUCUGACGGUACCCAAAGAAUAAGCACCGGCUAACUUCGUG